UACGGGGGGGGCAAGCGUUGUUCGGAAUUACUGGGCGUAAAGGGCUCGUAGGCGGCCAACUAAGUCAGACGUGAAAUCCCUCGGCUUAACCGGGGAACUGCGUCUGAUACUGGAUGGCUUGAGUUCGGGAGAGGGAUGUGGAAUUCCAGGUGUAGCGGUGAAAUGCGUAGAUGUCUGGAGGAACACCGGUGGCGAAGGCGGCAUCCUGGACCGACACUGACGCUGAUGAGCGAAAGCCAGGGGAGCAAACGGG
Molecule: ribosomal RNA, 253 nt
Filed under: uncultured bacterium
Lineage: Bacteria
Description: partial 16S ribosomal RNA
Rfam family: Bacterial small subunit ribosomal RNA
Source: RNAcentral